This 216-nucleotide ribosomal RNA is filed under the name Escherichia coli. RNAcentral's name for it is "partial 16S ribosomal RNA". It matches the Rfam family "Bacterial small subunit ribosomal RNA", at positions 1 to 215 of the family's 1533-position model. The record is from RNAcentral. Lineage: Bacteria; Pseudomonadati; Pseudomonadota; Gammaproteobacteria; Enterobacterales; Enterobacteriaceae.
AAAUUGAAGAGUUUGAUCAUGGCUCAGAUUGAACGCUGGCGGCAGGCCUAACACAUGCAAGUCGAACGGUAACAGGAAUCAGCUUGCUGAUUUGCUGACGAGUGGCGGACGGGUGAGUAAUGUCUGGGAAACUGCCUGAUGGAGGGGGAUAACUACUGGAAACGGUAGCUAAUACCGCAUAACGUCGCAAGACCAAAGAGGGGGACCUUCGGGCCU